Pseudomonas putida KT2440 is the source of this 282-nucleotide small RNA. It matches the Rfam family "5' ureB small RNA". NCBI's taxonomy places the organism in Bacteria, Pseudomonadati, Pseudomonadota, Gammaproteobacteria, Pseudomonadales, Pseudomonadaceae. The record is from Rfam.
UCGUCCACCUGCUGUGGGCAAAUGAAGUGGAUAUGCGAAUCGACACCACCGGCGGUGACGAUCUUGCCCUCGGCCGCGAUCACCUCGGUCCCUGGCCCGACCGGCACGUUCACGCCCGGCUGCACAUCGGGGUUGCCGGCCUUGCCGAUCACCGCGAUGCGUCCAUGCUUGAUGCCGAUGUCGGCCUUGACGAUGCCCCAGUGGUCGAUGAUCAGCGCAUUGGUCAACACCAGGUCCAUGGCCUCGGCCGCCAGCAUCUGGCCCUGCCCCAUGCCAUCGCGA